This 930-nucleotide ribosomal RNA is filed under the name uncultured delta proteobacterium. Its description in RNAcentral is "bacterial SSU rRNA". It matches the Rfam family "Bacterial small subunit ribosomal RNA", at positions 10 to 914 of the family's 1533-position model. Lineage: Bacteria; Deltaproteobacteria. The record is from RNAcentral.
AGUUUGAUCCCGGCUCAGAACGAACGCUGGCGGCGUGCUUAACACAUGCAAGUCGAACGCGAAAGCCCGCAAGGGUGAGUAGAGUGGCGCACGGGUGAGUAACACGUAAGCAAUCUGCCCUUGAGGGGGGGACAACGUUCCGAAAGGAGCGCUAAUACCGCAUAACCCGGUAUAGGGACCCAGGUCCCGGCCGGCAAAGAUGGCCUCUGCUUGCAUGCUAUCGCUUAAGGAGGAGCUUGCGUCCCAUUAGGUAGUUGGUGAGGUAACGGCUCACCAAGCCCGCGAUGGGUAGCCGGCCUGAGAGGGUAACCGGCCACACUGGCACUGAGACACGGGCCCAGACUCCUACGGGAGGCAGCAGUGAGGAAUUUUGGGCAAUGGGCGAAAGCCUGACCCAGCGACGCCGCGUGGGUGAUGAAGGCCUCCGGGUCGUAAAACCCUGUGAGAUGGGAAGAAGCCGUUGCGUGCUAAUACCACGUCGCGGUGACAGUACCAUCAGAGGAAGCCCCGGCUAACUACGUGCCAGCAGCCGCGGUAAAACGUAGGGGGCUAGCGUUGUUUCGGAAUUACUGGGCGUAAAGCGCGUGUAGGCGGCUUGGCAAGUCGGAAGUGAAAGCCCCAGGCUCAACUUGGGAAUUGCUUUCGAAACUGCCUAGCCUGAGUGCGGGAGGGGAGAGCGGAAUUCCAGGUGUAGCGGUGAAAUGCGUAGAUAUCUGGAGGAACACCGGUGGCGAAGGCGGCUCUCUGGACCGUAACUGACGCUGAGACGCGAAAGCGUGGGUAGCAAACAGGACUAGAUACCCUGGUAGUCCACGCCCUAAACGAUGGAUACUUGGCGUGGGAAGUUCAAAUCUUUCCGUGCCGGAGCUAACGCAUUAAGUAUCCCGCCUGGGGAGUACGGUCGCUAGGCUGAAACUCAAAGGAAUUGAC